UACGGAGGGUGCAAGCGUUGUCCGGAUUUAUUGGGUUUAAAGGGUGCGUAGGCGGCCCUGUAAGUCAGUGGUGAAAUACUGCAGCUUAACUGUAGCAUUGCCAUUGAUACUGUAGGGCUUGAGUACAGAUGAGGUAGGCGGAAUUGAUGGUGUAGCGGUGAAAUGCAUAGAUACCAUCAAGAACACCGAUUGCGAAGGCAGCUUACUAAGCUGUAACUGACGCUGAGGCACGAAAGCGUGGGGAUCGAACAGGAUUAGAUACCCUGGUAGUCCACGCUGUAAACGAUGAUUACUCGAUGUUCGCGAUAUACAGUGAGCGUCCAAGCGAAAGCGUUAAGUAAUCCACCUGGGGAGUACGCUCGCAAGAGUGAA
RNAcentral lists this ribosomal RNA (372 nucleotides) under uncultured bacterium. RNAcentral's name for it is "bacterial SSU rRNA". It matches the Rfam family "Bacterial small subunit ribosomal RNA", at positions 524 to 898 of the family's 1533-position model. The record is from RNAcentral.